Molecule: ribosomal RNA, 606 nt
Filed under: Cryptococcus sp. BC42
Lineage: Eukaryota; Fungi; Basidiomycota; Tremellomycetes; Tremellales; Cryptococcaceae
Description: eukaryotic LSU rRNA
Rfam family: 5.8S ribosomal RNA (bases 167-320)
Source: RNAcentral
AAGGAUCAUUAAUGAUUAACUGUCUGUCGAGCUUGCUCACAGACUUAUCAUAUCCAUAACACCUGUGCACUUGUCGGAUGGCUUAGUGAAGACCGCAAGGUUGGAACUAUCCAUCUACUUUACAUAACAAUUUAGUAACAAAUGUAGUCUUAUUAUAACAUAAUAAAACUUUCAACAACGGAUCUCUUGGCUCUCGCAUCGAUGAAGAACGCAGCGAAAUGCGAUAAGUAAUGUGAAUUGCAGAAUUCAGUGAAUCAUCGAAUCUUUGAACGCACCUUGCGCUCCCUGGUAUUCCGGGGAGCAUGCCUGUUUGAGUGUCAUGAAAACCCUCAACCUUAGAUUGGUUAACACCUUUCUUUGGCUUGGAUUUGGACGUUUGCCGAUGAUAAGUCGGCUCGUCUUAAAAGUAAUAGCUGGAUCUGUCUCGCGACAUGGUUUGACUUGGCGUAAUAAGUAUUUCGCUAAGGACAUCUUCGGAUGGCCGCGUUGCAAGACUAAAGACCGCUUUCUAAUCCAUUGAUCUUCGGAUUAAUAUUCUUGACAUCUGGCCUCAAAUCAGGUAGGACUACCCGCUGAACUUAAGCAUAUCAAUAAGCGGAGGAAAAG